AUUGAACGCUGGCGGCAUGCUUUACACAUGCAAGUCGGACGGCAGCACAGAGAAGCUUGCUUCUUGGGUGGCGAGUGGCGAACGGGUGAGUAACAUAUCGGAACGUACCGAGCAGUGGGGGAUAACUAAUCGAAAGAUUAGCUAAUACCGCAUAUUUUCUGAGGAAGAAAGCAGGGGACCUUUGGGCCUUGCGCUGUUUGAGCGGCCGAUAUCUGAUUAGCUAGUUGGUGGGGUAAAGGCCUACCAAGGCGACGAUCAGUAGCGGGUCUGAGAGGAUGAUCCGCCACACUGGGACUGAGACACGGCCCAGACUCCUACGGGAGGCAGCAGUGGGGAAUUUUGGACAAUGGGCGCAAGCCUGAUCCAGCCAUGCCGCGUGUCUGAAGAAGGCCCUCGGGUUGUAAAGGACUUUUGUCAGGGAAGAAAAGGGCGGGGUUAAUACCCCUGUCUGAUGACGGUACCUGAAGAAUAAGCACCGGCUAACUACGUG
RNAcentral lists this ribosomal RNA (490 nucleotides) under uncultured bacterium. RNAcentral describes it as "partial 16S ribosomal RNA". It matches the Rfam family "Bacterial small subunit ribosomal RNA", at positions 30 to 507 of the family's 1533-position model. The record is from RNAcentral.